Molecule: long non-coding RNA, 2615 nt
Organism: Gasterosteus aculeatus aculeatus (three-spined stickleback)
Lineage: Eukaryota; Metazoa; Chordata; Actinopteri; Perciformes; Gasterosteidae
Source: Ensembl
GAGCUCGCGAAAGAAGGUGGAACGUAAGGGAGACACCAUUUCCAAAACAGAAAGCAACCAUGUAAUGCCUCAGGAGUCUGUGGAGGGGACGAAGACGCGUUCUGCUGCACUUAACAGAGCUCAAGACCAACGGGACGCCAUCAGACGCCACGUCAACCCCUCAGGAGCAAAUCCAGAUCUACGCAUGACAUACACUUAGAUACACUUUAUUAGAUGUACACAAAGACAUAACAAUUAGAUGUACACACAGACACUAACAAUUAGAUCCACACACAGACACACUAACAAUUAGAUGUACACACAGACACACUAACAUUUGGUUCUAAACAAAGACACACACUAACAUUUAGAUGUACACAAAGACACAUUAAUAUUUAGAUGUACACACAGACACACUAACAAUUAGAUCUACACACAGACACACUAACAAUUAGAUGUACACACGGACACACUAACAAUUAGAUCUACACACAGACACACUAACAAUUAGAUGUACACACUGACACGUGCUGAUGACCAUCCUCACGUCUCUUCUCCUUGUCUGCAGACCAACAGGACGCCAUCAGGACGCCACGUCAUCAGGACACCAUCAGGACGCCACGUCAUCGGGACGCCAUCAGGAUUCCAUCAGGACGCCAUCAGGACGCCGCGUCAACCCCUCAGGAGCAAAUCCAGAUCUACUCAUGACACACACACACACACACACACACACACACACACACAGAUGUACUCAGAGACACACUAACAUUUAGACACGCUGGCAAAUUUAGAUGUACAAUUAGAUGUACACACAGACACACUAUCAUUUGGUUCUAAACAAAGACACACACUAAUAUUUAGAUGUACACAAAGACACAAUAACAAUUAGAUGUACACACAGACACACUAUCAUUUGGUUCUAAACAAUGACACACACUAAUAUUUAGAUGUACACAAAGACAUAUUAAUAUUUAGAUGUACACACAGACACACUACCAUUUGGUUCUAAACAAAGACACUAAUAUUUAAAUGUGCACAAAGACAUAUUAAUAUUUAGAUGUACACACAGACACACUAACAUUUAGAUGUACACACAGACACACUAACAAUUAGAUGUACACACAGACACACUCAUUUGGUUCUAAACAAAGACACACACUAAUAUUUAGAUGUACACAAAGACACAAUAACAAUUAGAUGUACGCACAGACACACUAACAAUUCGAUCUACACACAGACACACUAACAAUUCGAUGUACACACAGACACACUAACAUUUGGUUCUAAACAAAGACACACACUAAAAUGUAGAUGUACACAAAGACACAUUAAUAUUUAGAUGUACACACAGACACACUAACAAUUAGAUGUACACACAGACACACUAACAUUUGGUUCUAAACAAAGACACACACUAAUAUUUAGAUGUACACAAAGACACAUUAAUAUUUAGAUGUACACACAGACACACUAACAAUUAGAUGUACACACAGACACACUAACAUUUGGUUCUAAACAAAGACACACACUAAUAUUUAGAUGUACACAAAGACAAUAACAAUUAGAUGUACGCACAGACACACUAACAAUUAGAUCCACACACAGACACACUAACAAUUAGAUGUACACACAGACACACUAACAUUUGGUUCUAAACAAAGACACACACUAAUAUUUAGAUGUACACAAAGACAAUAACAAUUAGAUCCACACACAGACACACUAACAAUUAGAUGUACACACAGACACACUAACAUUUGGUUCUAAACAAAGACACACACUAACAUUUAGAUCUACACACAGACACACUAACAAUUAGAUGUACACACAGACACAUCCUGAUGAUCCUCCUCACGUCUCUUCUCCUUGUCUGCAGACCAACAGGACGCCAUCAGGACGCCACGUCAUCGGGACGCCAUCAGGACACCACGUCAUCGGGAUGCCAUCAGGACACCACGUCAUCGGGACGUCAUCGGGACGCCAUCAGGACGCCUAACAAUUAGAUGUACACACAGACACACUAUCAUUUGGUUCUAAACAAUGACACACACUAAUAUUUAGAUGUACACAAAGACACAAUAACAAUUAGAUGUACACACAGACACACUAUCAUUUGGUUCUAAACAAUGACACACUAAUAUUUAGAUGUACACAAAGACACAAUAACAAUUAGAUAUACACACAGACACACUAUCAUUUGGUUCUAAACAAAGACACACACUAAUAUUUAGAUGUACACAAAGACACAAUAACAAUUAGAUGUACACACGGACACAUCCUGAUGAUCCUCCUCACGUCUCUUCUCCUUGUCUGCAGACCAACAGGACGCCAUCAGGACGCCACGUCAUCGGGACACACUAACAUUUAGAUGUACACACAGACACACUAACAUUUGGUACUAAACAAAGACACACACUAAUAUUUAGAUGUACACAAAGACAUAAUAAUAUUUAGAUGUACACACAGACACACUAACAUUUAGAUGUACACACAGACACACUAACAAUUAGAUGUACACACAGACACACUAACAACAUUAACAUGUUAAUAACUUUUCUUCUUUUCUCUCUUCUCAGGAACUGCUUCAGAUGUUUUCCCAAUGAUUGUGUUAUUAUUAUUGUUAAAUAUGUCGUCUG